AGAGUUUGAUCCUGGCUCAGGAUGAACGCUAGCGACAGGCUUAACACAUGCAAGUCGAGGGGCACACAGGUAGCAAUACCGGGUGGCGACCGGCGCACGGGUGAGUAACGCGUAUGCAACUUGCCUAUCAGAGGGGGAUAACCCGGCGAAAGUCGGACUAAUACCGCAUGAAGCAGGGAUCCCGCAUGGGAAUAUUUGCUAAAGAUUCAUCGCUGAUAGAUAGGCAUGCGUUCCAUUAGGCAGUUGGCGGGGUAACGGCCCACCAAACCGACGAUGGAUAGGGGUUCUGAGAGGAAGGUCCCCCACAUUGGUACUGAGACACGGACCAAACUCCUACGGGAGGCAGCAGUGAGGAAUAUUGGUCAAUGGGCGUAAGCCUGAACCAGCCAAGUCGCGUGAGGGAUGAAGGUUCUAUGGAUCGUAAACCUCUUUUAUAAGGGAAUAAAGUGCGGGACGUGUCCCGUUUUGUAUGUACCUUAUGAAUAAGGAUCGGCUAACUCCGUGCCAGCAGCCGCGGUAAUACGGAGGAUCCGAGCGUUAUCCGGAUUUAUUGGGUUUAAAGGGUGCGUAGGCGGCCUUUUAAGUCAGCGGUGAAAGUCUGUGGCUCAACCAUAGAAUUGCCGUUGAAACUGGGAGGCUUGAGUAUGUUUGAGGCAGGCGGAAUGCGUGGUGUAGCGGUGAAAUGCUUAGAUAUCACGCAGAACCCCGAUUGCGAAGGCAGCCUGCCAAGCCAUGACUGACGCUGAUGCACGAAAGCGUGGGGAUCAAACAGGAUUAGAUACCCUGGUAGUCCACGCAGUAAACGAUGAUCACUAGCUGUUUGCGAUACACAGUAAGCGGCACAGCGAAAGCGUUAAGUGAUCCACCUGGGGAGUACGCCGGCAACGGUGAAACUCAAAGGAAUUGACGGGGGCCCGCACAAGCGGAGGAACAUGUGGUUUAAUUCGAUGAUACGCGAGGAACCUUACCCGGGUUUGAACGCAUUCGGACCGAGGUGGAAACACCUUUUCUAGCAAUAGCCGUUUGCGAGGUGCUGCAUGGUUGUCGUCAGCUCGUGCCGUGAGGUGUCGGCUUAAGUGCCAUAACGAGCGCAUCCCUUGCCACUAGUUACUAACAGGUAAAGCUGAGGACUCUGGUGGGACUGCCAGCGUAAGCUGCGAGGAAGGCGGGGAUGACGUCAAAUCAGCACGGCCCUUACAUCCGGGGCGACACACGUGUUACAAUGGCGUGGACAAAGGGAGGCCACCUGGCGACAGGGAGCGAAUCCCCAAACCACGUCUCAGUUCGGAUCGGAGUCUGCAACCCGACUCCGUGAAGCUGGAUUCGCUAGUAAUCGCGCAUCAGCCAUGGCGCGGUGAAUACGUUCCCGGGCCUUGUACACACCGCCCGUCAAGCCAUGGGAGCCGGGGGUACCUGAAGUCCGUAACCGCAAGGAUCGGCCUAGGGUAAAACUGGUGACUGGGGCUAAGUCGUAACAAGGUA
This 1482-nucleotide ribosomal RNA is filed under the name metagenome. Its description in RNAcentral is "bacterial SSU rRNA". It matches the Rfam family "Bacterial small subunit ribosomal RNA". The record is from RNAcentral.